AACGGCCGCGGUAUUCUGACCGUGCAAAGGUAGCGCAAUCAAUUGUCUUUUAAAUGAAGGCCCGUAUGAAUGGCAUAACGAGGGCUUAACUGUCUCCUUUUUCUAAUCAAUGAAAUUGAUCUUCCCGUGCAGAAGCGGGAAUUUUUACAUAAGACGAGAAGACCCUAUGGAGCUUAUAAACGCAAGAGCAGACUAAUACUAUUAAAUUUAGUUUAACUAAAUUUAUAAACCCGUUAACUACUGCUCGAGUGUUUUUGGUUGGGGCGACCACGGAGUAAAACUUAACCUCCACGCAGAACAAAAAUACUCAUUUUUUAAUUUAAGGGCUACAGCCCUAAAAUCCAGAACCUCUGACUUUUAUUGAUCCGGCAAAGCCGAUUAACGAACCGAGUUACCCUAGGGAUAACAGCGCAAUCCUCUUUUAGAGGUCCUAUCGACAAGAGGGUUUACGACCUCGAUGUUGGACCAGGACAUCCUAUU
Molecule: ribosomal RNA, 480 nt
Filed under: Epiplatys singa
Lineage: Eukaryota; Metazoa; Chordata; Actinopteri; Cyprinodontiformes; Nothobranchiidae
Description: partial 16S ribosomal RNA
Rfam family: Bacterial large subunit ribosomal RNA
Source: RNAcentral